This 484-nucleotide ribosomal RNA is filed under the name uncultured bacterium. RNAcentral's name for it is "partial 16S ribosomal RNA". It matches the Rfam family "Bacterial small subunit ribosomal RNA", at positions 30 to 507 of the family's 1533-position model. The record is from RNAcentral.
AUUGAACGCUGGCGGCAGGCCUAACACAUGCAAGUCGAGCGGAUGAAGGGAGCUUGCUCCUGGAUUCAGCGGCGGACGGGGGGGUAAUGCCUAGGAAUCUGCCUGGUAGUGGGGGAUAGCGUCCGGAAACGGGCGCUAAUACCGCAUACGUCGUGAGGUAGAAAGUGGGGGGGCUUCGGACCGCACGCUAUCAGAGGAGCCUAGGUCGGACUAGCUAGUCUGUGGGGUAACGGCCUACCGAGGCUAAUAUCCGUAACUGGUCUGAGGGGAUGACCCGACAGCUUGGAAGUGAGGCAGGUCCCACACUCCUACGCUGGGCCGCAGUCCGGACUCCUGCACGAUGCACGAGAGCCUGAUACAGCCCUGCCGCCGGAGUGAUGAAGGUCUUCGGACUGUAAAGCGCUUUAGGUUGUGAGGAAGGACAGCAAGUUUAUCCGUUGCUGUUUUGACGUUACCGGCAGAAUAAGCACCGGCUAACUUCGUG